GGUCCUGUAGCUCAGUCGGUUAGAGCAGUGAACUCAUAAUUCAUUGGUCAUUGGUUCAAACCCAAUCAGGAUCA
Molecule: transfer RNA, 74 nt
Filed under: Enterobacter phage fGh-Ecl02
Lineage: Duplodnaviria; Heunggongvirae; Uroviricota; Caudoviricetes; Pantevenvirales; Ackermannviridae
Also listed under: 4 other names
Description: tRNA-Ile
Rfam family: tRNA
About the family: Transfer RNA (tRNA) molecules are approximately 80 nucleotides in length. Their secondary structure includes four short double-helical elements and three loops (D, anti-codon, and T loops).
Source: RNAcentral